GGUCUUCUAGUUUAGUGGUUAGAACAUCCGUCUGAUACGCGGGAAAACGAGGUUCGAUUCCUAGGAGGACUA
RNAcentral lists this transfer RNA (72 nucleotides) under Pseudocercospora fijiensis CIRAD86. RNAcentral describes it as "tRNA-Ile (GAT) (tRNA-Ile-GAT-1-1)". It matches the Rfam family "tRNA". From Rfam's summary of the family: Transfer RNA (tRNA) molecules are approximately 80 nucleotides in length. Their secondary structure includes four short double-helical elements and three loops (D, anti-codon, and T loops). Further hydrogen bonds mediate the characteristic L-shaped molecular structure. tRNAs have two regions of fundamental functional importance: the anti-codon, which is responsible for specific mRNA codon recognition, and the 3' end, to which the tRNAs corresponding amino acid is attached (by aminoacyl-tRNA synthetases). tRNAs cope with the degeneracy of the genetic code in two manners: having more than one tRNA (with a specific anti-codon) for a particular amino acid; and 'wobble' base-pairing, i.e. permitting non-standard base-pairing at the 3rd anti-codon position. The record is from RNAcentral. Lineage: Eukaryota; Fungi; Ascomycota; Dothideomycetes; Mycosphaerellales; Mycosphaerellaceae.